RNAcentral lists this ribosomal RNA (454 nucleotides) under uncultured delta proteobacterium. RNAcentral describes it as "bacterial SSU rRNA". It matches the Rfam family "Bacterial small subunit ribosomal RNA", at positions 90 to 523 of the family's 1533-position model. The record is from RNAcentral. Lineage: Bacteria; Deltaproteobacteria.
GUAAAGUGGCGCACGGGUGAGUAACGCGUGGAUAAUCUGCCCUUCAGUUGGGAAUAACUCAUCGAAAGUGGGCUAAUACCGAAUAAUACUGUGAGACCUUGGUUGAGCAGUCAAAGAGAGCCUCUGCUUGCAUGCCCUCGCUGAAGGAUGAGUCCGCGUACCAUUAGCUAGUUGGUAGGGUAAUGGCCUACCAAGGCGACGAUGGUUAGCUGGUCUGAGAGGAUGAUCAGCCACACUGGAACUGAGACACGGUCCAGACUCCUACGGGAGGCAGCAGUGAGGAAUCUUGCGCAAUGGGGGCAACCCUGACGCAGCAACGCCGCGUGAGUGAGGAAGGUCUUCGGAUCGUAAAGCUCUGUCAGAUGGAAAGAACCGCAUGGGGGUUAAUAUCCCUCAUGUCUGACGGUACCAUCAAAGGAAGCACCGGCUAACUCCGUGCCAGCAGCCGCGGUAA